UUACCUUUCUCAGCCUUUUGGCUAAGAUUCAGUGUAGUUUAUCUUCUUGUCAGUUCAAAUAUCUGAUACGUGGGCCAUUGGCCCACCAUCAUGACCAUUGUCAUUAUCAUCUAAGCCCUGUCCCAGCUAAUUGGGGUUGGCCAACAUUAUCACCUGGGCCAUUGGCCCACAUGAUAUUACAUUAAUUCUUGUGGGAGAAGGCCCG
Magnolia sinica is the source of this 205-nucleotide small nuclear RNA. RefSeq annotates it as U2 spliceosomal RNA. The transcript has a single exon. The record is from RefSeq and is a predicted model, not a curated record. Lineage: Eukaryota; Viridiplantae; Streptophyta; Magnoliopsida; Magnoliales; Magnoliaceae.